UCCAGACUCCUACGGGAGGCAGCAGUGGGGGAUAUUGCACAAUGGGGGGAACCCUGAUGCAGCGACGCCGCGUGGGUGAAGGAGCGUUUCGGCGCGUAAAGCCCUAUCGGCAGGGAAGAAGGAGGACGGUACCUGACUAAGAAGCCCCGGCUAACUACGUGCCAGCAGCCGCGGUAAUACGUAGGGGGCAAGCGUUAUCCGGAUUUACUGGGUGUAAAGGGGGCGCAGACGGCAGCGCAAGCCAGGAGUGAAAGCCCGGGGCCCAACCCCGGGACUGCUCUUGGAACUGCGCGGCUGGAGUGCAGGAGGGGCAGGCGGAAUUCCUGGUGUAGCGGUGAAAUGCGUAGAUAUCAGGAGGAACACCGGCGGCGAAGGCGGCCUGCUGGACCGUAACUGACGUUGAGGCUCGAAAGCGUGGGGAGCAAACAGGAUUAGAUACCCGAGUA
RNAcentral lists this ribosomal RNA (446 nucleotides) under uncultured bacterium. Its description in RNAcentral is "partial 16S ribosomal RNA". It matches the Rfam family "Bacterial small subunit ribosomal RNA", at positions 330 to 792 of the family's 1533-position model. The record is from RNAcentral.